Piliocolobus tephrosceles (Ugandan red Colobus) is the source of this 1022-nucleotide RNA transcript. It is a transcript of the gene named M-phase phosphoprotein 8 pseudogene, with no coding region annotated. The transcript has a single exon. NCBI's taxonomy places the organism in Eukaryota, Metazoa, Chordata, Mammalia, Primates, Cercopithecidae. The record is from RefSeq and is a predicted model, not a curated record.
CAUUUUAAAAAUACAAACAGUCACUUAAAGAGAGGAGGAACACCAGAGACGAAACGGACACUUGGGCAUACAUUGCUGCAGAAGGUGAUCAGGAGGUUUCAGACAGCGUGUGCCAAGCAGAUGAGAAUUCGGAUGGCAGGCAGCAGAUUCUGAGUUUGGGCAUGGACCUGCAGUUGGAAUGGAUGAAGUUAGAAGAUUUCCAAAAGCACCUUGAUGGGAAAGAUGAGAAUUUUGCUGCAGUAGAUGCAAUUCCAAGUAAUGUGUUAAGGGAUGCUGUAAAAAAUGGGGAGUAUAUUACUGUAAAAGUUGCACUUAAUUCAAAUGAAGAAUAUAACCUGGACCAAGAGGAUUCCAGUGGAAUGACACUGGUGAUGCUUGCCGCCGCGGGAGGGCAGGACGACCUCCUGCGACUCCUCAUAACAAAAGGCGCGAAAGUGAACGGUCGGCAGAAAAAUGGGACCACCGCCCUCAUUCAUGCCGCAGAGAAGAACUUUUUAACAACAGUGGCUAUUCUUUUGGAAGCGGGAGCUUUUGUCAAUGUCCAGGAGAGCAAUGGUGAGACCGCACUGAUGAAGGCCUGUAAAAGAGGAAAUUCAGACAUUGUACGACUUGUGAUUGAAUGUGGAGCUGACUGCAACAUCCUGUCAAAGCACCAGAACAGCGCCCUGCACUUCGCCAGGCAGUCCAACAACGUGCUUGUGUACGACUUGCUCAAGAGCCAUCUAGAGACACUUUCAAGAGUAGCAGAAGAGACAAUAAAGGAUUACUUUGAAGCUCGCCUUGCUCUGCUAGAACCAGUUUUUCCAAUCGCAUGUCAUCGACUCUGUGAGGGGCCUGAUUUUUCAACAGAUUUCAAUUACAAACCCCCACAGAACACACCAGAAGGCUCCGGCAUCCUGCUGUUUAUCUUCCAUGCAAACUUUUUGGGUAAAGAAGAUAUUGCUCGGCUCUGUGGACCAUGUAGUGUACAAGCUGUAGUUCUGAACGAUAAAUUUCAACUUCCUGUUUUUCUGGUAAGAUAA